AGAACUCAUGGGAGUCAACUUACAUAAACGGAUUGGUUACAAGAUAGACCAUCAAACAGAGAAAUGCCAUCUGAAGAAGGAACAUUAAAUGGUGAGUCUGUGUGGUAGAUUUAAUGUGAAAAAAAUGAGAAUCUUACAUGAUCUGUUAUAGCAAACACCACAUUAUUCUAGGUCUCACUUCUCCAUUUAAGCCAGCUAUGGAUACAAAUUACUAUUAUUCAGGUCAGUAAUAUUAAAAACAAAAUUUAAUAGUAUUUUGAACCUUUACAGAUUUCAUCAUUUCUCUCUCAUUUUAUGCAGCUGUGGAAAGAAAUAACUUGAUGAGGUUAUCACAGAGCAUUCCAUUUACACCUGUGCCUCCAAGAGGGGAGCCUGUCACAGUGUAUCGUUUGGAAGAGAGUUCACCCAACAUACUAAAUAACAGCAUGUCUUCUUGGUCACAACUAGGCCUCUGUGCCAAAAUAGAGUUUUUAAGCAAAGAGGAGAUGGGCGGAGGUUUACGAAGAGCUGUCAAAGUACAGUGUACCUGGUCAGAACAUGAUA
RNAcentral lists this small RNA (543 nucleotides) under Pongo abelii (Sumatran orangutan). RNAcentral's name for it is "processed transcript". The record is from RNAcentral. Lineage: Eukaryota; Metazoa; Chordata; Mammalia; Primates; Hominidae.